This 106-nucleotide small nucleolar RNA is filed under the name Macleaya cordata. RNAcentral describes it as "Small nucleolar RNA snoR97". It matches the Rfam family "Small nucleolar RNA snoR97". The record is from Rfam by way of RNAcentral. Lineage: Eukaryota; Viridiplantae; Streptophyta; Magnoliopsida; Ranunculales; Papaveraceae.
UGUCCGUAUAUGGGUAUGGAGACUGAAAAACUCAAAAAUUGUGUGUUGUCAUCAACUUCAUAUCUUGCAUAUAUCGAUACUGGAGCCAAAUAACAGCACUACAUUU